This is a non-coding RNA of Triticum urartu, 72 nucleotides long. The record is from Rfam. NCBI's taxonomy places the organism in Eukaryota, Viridiplantae, Streptophyta, Magnoliopsida, Poales, Poaceae.
GUAGAUGUAGUUCAAUGGUAGAAUAUCUAUUUGUGGCAUAGAUUGUUCUUGGUUCGAAUCCAAGUAUUUACC